Molecule: transfer RNA, 77 nt
Filed under: compost metagenome
Description: tRNA-Asn
Rfam family: tRNA
About the family: Transfer RNA (tRNA) molecules are approximately 80 nucleotides in length. Their secondary structure includes four short double-helical elements and three loops (D, anti-codon, and T loops).
Source: RNAcentral
UGGCUAUAUAUUCCCUUGGUGGGGAUGCCUGACUGUUAAUCAGGAUGCGCUAGGUUCGAAACCUAGAUAGCCAGCCA